This 65-nucleotide transfer RNA is filed under the name Ectenagena elongata. RNAcentral's name for it is "tRNA-Pro". The record is from RNAcentral. Lineage: Eukaryota; Metazoa; Mollusca; Bivalvia; Venerida; Vesicomyidae.
CAAAAUAUAGUUUAAUAAAAAUUUUAAUUUUGGGAAUUAAUGAUGCUGAUAUUCAGUUAUUUUGA